This 467-nucleotide ribosomal RNA is filed under the name uncultured bacterium. RNAcentral describes it as "partial 16S ribosomal RNA". It matches the Rfam family "Bacterial small subunit ribosomal RNA", at positions 339 to 795 of the family's 1533-position model. The record is from RNAcentral.
CUACGGGGGGCAGCAGUGGGGAAUACUGGACAAUGGGGGAAACCCUGAUCCAGCAAUGCCGCGUGUGUGAAGAAGGCCUGCGGGUUGUAAAGCACUUUCGGUUGGGAGGACUGCUUCUAGCACUAAUAUUGUUGGAAGUUGACGUUACCUUCAGAAGAAGCACCGGCUAACUCCGUGCCAGCAGCCGCAGGGUAAUACGGAGGGUGCAAGCGUUAAUCGGAAUUACUGGGCGUAAAGCGCGCGUAGGCGGCUAGAUCAGUCGGGUGUGAAAGUCCCGGGCUUAACCUGGGAACUGCAUCCGAUACUGUCUAGCUUGAGUACAGGAGAGGAGAGUGGAAUUCCACAUGUAGCGGUGAAAUGCGUAGAUAUGUGGAGGAACACCAAUGGCGAAGGCAGCUCUCUGGCCUGAUACUGACGCUGAGGUGCGAAAGCGUGGGGAGCAAACAGGAUUAGAUACCCCAGUAGUC